This 466-nucleotide ribosomal RNA is filed under the name uncultured bacterium. RNAcentral describes it as "partial 16S ribosomal RNA". It matches the Rfam family "Bacterial small subunit ribosomal RNA", at positions 28 to 507 of the family's 1533-position model. The record is from RNAcentral.
GACGAACGCUGGCGGCGUGCUUAACACAUGCAAGUCGAACGGAAAGGCCCUGCUUGCAUGGUACUCGAGUGGGGAACGGGUGAGUAACACAGGGGUGCACCGCCCUGCACUUUUUGGUAAGCUUUGAAAACUGGGUCUAUUACCGGAUAUGGGCCAUCUUUAGGGUGGGGGUGGGAAGGAUUUUUCGGUGUAGGAUGAGCUCGCGGGCUAUCAGCUUGUUGGUGGGGUAGUGGCCUACCAAGCCGGCGAGGGGUAGCUGGCCUGAGAGGGUGUACGGCCGCACUGGGACUGUGAGACGGGCCAGAGUCCUGAAGGGGGCAGAAGGGGGGAAAAUUGCACAAUGGGAGACAGCGUGAGGCAGGGAGGCCGCGUGGGAGAUAAAGGCCUUUGGGUGGUAAAAACCGUUGGCGAGUGACACAGCGUUUUUGUGACGGUACCUAGAUAAGAAGCACCGGCUAACUACGUG